Non-coding RNA from Malurus melanocephalus (red-backed fairy wren), 69 nucleotides. The record is from the annotation of a RefSeq genome assembly. NCBI's taxonomy places the organism in Eukaryota, Metazoa, Chordata, Aves, Passeriformes, Maluridae.
CAGAAAGUAGUUUAAUGAAAAUCCCAGCUUUGGGAGUUGGUGAUAGAGGUUCGAUCCCUUUCUUUCUGA